AGAGUUUGAUCCUGGCUCAGAUUGAACGCUGGCGGCAGGCUUAACACAUGCAAGUCGAGCGGAGAUGAGGUGCUUGCACCUUAUCUUAGCGGCGGACGGGUGAGUAAUGCUUAGGAAUCUGCCUAUUAGUGGGGGACAACAUUUCGAAAGGAAUGCUAAUACCGCAUACGCCCUACGGGGGAAAGCAGGGGAUCUUCGGACCUUGCGCUAAUAGAUGAGCCUAAGUCGGAUUAGCUAGUUGGUGGGGUAAAGGCCUACCAAGGCGACGAUCUGUAGCGGGUCUGAGAGGAUGAUCCGCCACACUGGGACUGAGACACGGCCCAGACUCCUACGGGAGGCAGCAGUGGGGAAUAUUGGACAGUGGGGGGAACCCUGAUCCAGCCAUGCCGCGUGUGUGAAGAAGGCCUUUUGGUUGUAAAGCACUUUAAGCGAGGAGGAGGAGCUCUAGAUUAAUACUCUAGAUGCUUGGACGUUACUCGCAGAAUAAGCACCGGCUAACUCUGUGCCAGCAGCCGCGGUAAUA
RNAcentral lists this ribosomal RNA (523 nucleotides) under uncultured bacterium. Its description in RNAcentral is "bacterial SSU rRNA". It matches the Rfam family "Bacterial small subunit ribosomal RNA", at positions 8 to 525 of the family's 1533-position model. The record is from RNAcentral.